Molecule: ribosomal RNA, 253 nt
Filed under: uncultured bacterium
Lineage: Bacteria
Description: partial 16S ribosomal RNA
Rfam family: Bacterial small subunit ribosomal RNA
Source: RNAcentral
UACGGGGGGGGCAAGCGUUGUUCGGAAUUACUGGGUUUAAAGGGUGCGUAGGCGGUUUAUUAAGUCAGUGGUGAAAGCCCGGAGCUCAACUUCGGAACUGCCAUUGAUACUGAUAGACUUGAGUACAGAUGAAGUGGGCGGAAUGUGACAAGUAGCGGUGAAAUGCUUAGAUAUGUCACAGAACACCGAUUGCGAAGGCAGCUCACUAAAGUGUAACUGACGCUGAGGCACGAAAGCGUGGGGAUCAAACAGG